UGUUUGGUUGACAGUCCAUUGCUGACCACUUGUGCUGGGCACUCCCCAGAGCAGCCUCAUGGCUGAGUGUGGAGGAAGCCCUGGGGAGGCUCUCCAGGCAAAAAAGGGUCUUGGUGGGAUCUCCUGCCCUGGAGAACCCCUUCCGGAGACAGAGCUGUGGUGGUGGGUUUAGGACAAGGUCUUUUUAUACCAGGAAGGAGACAGAGAGAAGAAAGUAGAUAGUUUCUGGUUACAUAAUGAAAGUAAUGAGAGUUUAACAAAGGAAUUUCAGAGGUUGUAGGAUCCAGAGGAAAGUUUAACAGGGAAGAUCCAAACAGUGCCAAGUCCAGAAUGAUCCCUCUUUGCACUGGGUGCUUUCUGAUCCUACUGGGAAAAUAGCUUAACAAUUAGCACAAGGAGCAAGUGGAUCCUUGCAGGGAAAUACAGUAGAGACUUGAUAGAUUUGAGUUUCCUUCCCGUUGGUAGAAUGUGGAUAACACGUAGAGAAGUGACUCAGAUUCAUCACAGGAAAAUAUCACGUGUGAUAACCCUCAGGUGGAACUUUGCUCAAGCUGAAGUAUGGGAUGUGCAAGGUGCCAAACUGCUUUUAUUCUUUGCUUCCAUGGGUUCAUUAAAUGCUGUUUUCACCUCCUUCUCAGCCAAAUUAAAGGGUCAAUGUAGAGGGAUUCAACACACAGAAUUGCUGAGAGUGUGUUUGACGACUAAAAUGGGAGAAAAUAUGACCCUAAGGUUUUUUGGAUGUUAAACCCAUCUUCUGUGCUUGUUUUUCAGAGCAGAGUUGAAGGUCCUGAUUGAAGCAGGAUGAAUUCAGAUGGCUGGCUAUCUAUCUAUGCACCUCUUCCUCUCUAUUGCACUUCAGUGUUCUGUAGUUUUGUGUAUGUUGAUUUUUGCCUCUUAGUAAAAUUACUUUUAUAGUUGUGUUCAAGAUGGCUUUUUAGAAACACAUCACAGAAAACUCUGUAGAAUAUAAUUUUGUCUGAAGUUUUACCAUGCCACUGUU
This is a long non-coding RNA of Corapipo altera (White-ruffed manakin), 1000 nucleotides long. RefSeq lists it as uncharacterized. The record is from RefSeq and is a predicted model, not a curated record. NCBI's taxonomy places the organism in Eukaryota, Metazoa, Chordata, Aves, Passeriformes, Pipridae. The transcript is spliced from 5 exons.